This 3210-nucleotide long non-coding RNA is filed under the name Trifolium pratense (red clover). RNAcentral's name for it is "long non-coding RNA (TPRA_LNC003309)". Lineage: Eukaryota; Viridiplantae; Streptophyta; Magnoliopsida; Fabales; Fabaceae. The record is from RNAcentral.
AUAUUAUUAUGUUUUUUUAUAGAAAUUAGCACGUCUUCACUAUGAUGAUAUUAUAAUGUUAUUAGCUGAUAGUUGUACCAAGACAUCAUCGAGAUAAUACCCUAAAAUGUAAAGGUCAAUCAUUUUCUAUCCUCUUUUGAACUCUAUAACUCAAUAGAUCAAAUUUAUCUUUAAAAAUAUCUACGUCAUUAAUUCCCUAACAAAUAAUGAUAACAAACAUUUCAUAAUGUACUCACUCCAUCCCAAAAUGUUAGUAUGUUGUAAUUGCCGUGAAAUAAUGUAAAAAUCAGAAAAUCAUGUUUUGGUAGAUUCUGCCUGCUCACGCCCAGGCGUGGGAGCUGGCGCCCAGGCGUGAAAAACUGGGUUGAACUCUGCUUGCUCACGCCCAGGCAUGGGAGNNNNNNNNNNNNNNNNNNNNNNNNNNNNNNNNNNNNNNNNNNNNNNNNNNNNNNUUUUCUGAUUUUUUUUAAAAAGAUUUUUAGGGUUUCUGAGGCCAACAAACAGACUAGGGUUAUAAGAGAAACAUCUUGUGAAGACUCUAGGGUUGGGUAAUCAUUCUAUCACCUUGGGAAACACUUUCAUUGAAAUCUCUUGGUCAUGGGAAGAGAUUUGGGAAAAGGGUAGAAAUAGGAUAACUCUAUUUUCUUGUAACUCUUUCGAGAAUCUCAUUGUAAUCAAGGAACAAAGUUUGAUAGUGGAACGAAGAGCUGCUCUCUCCUCCAAAGUAGGUCACAUUGACUGAACUGGGUAAACAAUUUAUUGUGUCAUUUUCUUUCUCGCCGUUUAUUAUUAUUUGUGAUUAUUAUUGCCGUUCACUUAUUUUGAUUGCUUAAUCGUAUUUGCUCCACACAUCAAGAUUAUUAUUGGUGUGAUUUAAUCGAAUUCACAACAUGGAGUUUUGCACGCAGAUUAAGAAAUGAUAAAGAUUAAUAAAAGGAGCAAAGAUUUGGAACGAAGGGAGUAUUAAAUAUUCUUCUACUUAUUGUUGCAUCCGUUGGAUUGCCUAUUUUUAUCAUUUAUUAAUAUAUUAUAUGAAAGGAGAAAGAAGUUAUAAGAGUAACAACAAUAUGAUAAGCAAACAAAAUGGAAUGUCAAAAUAGAGAAAUAAGAUUUACUCUAUCAGGCUUAUACAAUAACCUCCAUAGCACGUCAAUGAUCCAUGAGGCUCACUUGGAUCUAAUUUAUAGCAGUCGUAGUCGGUAUCACACUUUGCUGUAAUGUACAAUAAGGUAUAAGGAAAUAUUACUAAAAAAUGGGUGAAAGGUUGUGUAUAAAAUAAACAAAAAAUAUUAAGAGAAUGAACUUACUUUGACCAACGACCGCAAUGAUAAAAAGAGAAACAAAAAAGAUCACAAUAUAAACAAAUUUGAGAGUGUGAGCCAUUUUUUUCACCUUUGCAUGUAAAAAACAUAAAAUGGUUUUUUUUACACAAAAAUAUGUAAUGGUUUAAGUACUUUAUAUAGUAAAAACCUCUUGAUAUAUGGUUACAUCAUUUUUAAUGAUGAUAUUGUUAUAAUAAGUUCUUUUUAAAUCAUAAUAAUUAUCGAAUAUCUCUAAAGUACAAUAUGAAUAAUAUUUUUAGCUCAUAAAAUAGAUCUCACUGAAUGACUAUAUAUGUAAUUGUGGAGUUCGUUUUUGUUUUACCAGCCUUUCAUUAUUAUUAUUUUUAUCUCUUAUAUUUAGCCUUUCGUAAUAGAGAGGGAAAAAAAAUCAUGUAUUGGUAUUAGCAGAACUCGAUCCACAUAUCUUAAUGGUCUCAUAUUUGUAUCUUGUUGUUAAAUAAAAUAUGAUUAGAAGGAGAGACCUAGUUAAAAAUUACCAAUAAAAUUUUAUUGUUGAAGUCCAAGGACAAUGUUUAGAGUUGUUAAGAUGGGCUAGUCGCAUGCGCUGACAUGCUAAACCCGAAAAAAACAUAGGGCUUGAGCCUUAAAUUUUCAUCCCAAAUUUUUUAAGAAUUUUUUAGCCCAACCCAUUUUAAAUAUGGGUUAAUCCGUAUGGCCACUGGUAGCCAACUAGUCGAAUAAAUUAUAAUAAAAAAAUAUGAGUAAAGAGCAUGAGACUAGAGAGCACACUGUCGUUUCAUAUUAAUUUUUACUUAGUUAUUUGAACCAAUCCAAUAUGUUAAGCCCACUAGUUACAAGUUUGUUACAUUUUGUUACCAAAUUUGUUAGAAAGUUUUAUCUAUUUACAUUUAUGUUGUUAUUAACAAAUUUGUUAUCCAGAUUAUAUGUUGUAGGAUAGUAAUUAUGAUCUUUAUAUAAUGAUUAAUUUUAUGCUAUUGAACAAGUGGUGCUUGAGAGCUUUAUAAUUAAUAGAAUAAUAGAAUAGUUGCUGAUUUUUUGCAGUAGUUCACUACUUAAUUGUUACUUCCAUUUUAUUCAUGUCAUACCUUUUUACAUCAUUAGGGAUUAGGGAUGUAAAUUUCAUCCAUAAUUGGGAAUCACGCGGAGAUUGUCUCGUUUGGGGACCGUAACACCUUAAACCCAGAUAAAAAAAAAUUAAGACUAGAAGUAUAAAAUUAUUGGUUCAAAGUAUUACAUUCUUCUAUAUACAUUACUAAUAUAAUUAAUUAGUAAACAUCACUUCUAUAAAAAUCAUUUUCUAAAAUAAUACAUCGAUUUUUAAUUAAAUAAAACAACAGAAAGAAAGAAUCCAUGAACUCUUCCCUAGUGUCACAAUCAGAGCGAAAUUUCACCAAAUAACCGAAACAUCCAGAAACACACAACCUGAGAAUAUGAGCUCCCAAGAACCCAACACAUACACAAAAUAGAUGGUAAGAAUAAACUCAUAACAAUGACUUAAUAUAAGGAAUAUCAGACACUAAUAAAUAGGGGUGUGCAAAAUAACCGAUUACAUGGUCAAAUCCACAAUCACAUCCAGAUCCGAUCUUAAAAAUCCAGAUAAUUCUAAAGUGGUAUUUAACCAAUCCAUUUACAUCUGGUUGGUUAUCCAUAUAUGAAAACCGGUUAUUUAACCGGAUGUCCAUAUCCAAAACCAAUUUUUAGUGUGCUUUUUUUUUCGGACCAAUUUCCUUAUUGUUAAUGACAACAACCUCAAAUUCAAUUUCAUUUUGUAGAUUUCACAAAAUUGGAACAAUUUUUAGAUUCAUGAUUUCUAUAAAAUUUACAAUCAACAAAUUGAUAAAUAACAGGGGGAGAGAAACAGAGAGAAAGAGCGUGAGAGAACAGUGGUCGAAACGCGCCGACAGNN